Molecule: long non-coding RNA, 777 nt
Organism: Mesocricetus auratus (golden hamster)
Lineage: Eukaryota; Metazoa; Chordata; Mammalia; Rodentia; Cricetidae
Exons: 5
Source: RefSeq, a predicted model, not a curated record
AUCCAGACCCAAGGAAGAAGGUUGCUGGCUGCCUGCCCUCAGACCCCACAGUAACUGUCCUCGUGGUUGGAGGUCCCUAAGGCUGCAGUGUAAGAAAGAGAGAAACCUUUAAGCAGAGUUUCCCAGUCUGUGGAUGGCAACCUGGCAGGGUCCGAACAACCCUUUCACAGGAGUCAGUGUCACCUGCCAUGAGGUAAUGUAGUCAAGGGACAGCCUUGCCCUGAACUGCUUGGACUUGACUUCAAAACUGAGGUAGAAGCUAUGGCUGGAUCCAGACCUGGUCUAUGUGCUCAGUAAGCUCCAUCAGAGUGCCAGUCCAACGGCCUGCACCAAUGGAGAAGGACUCCAAGCAGAGAGGAAAGGUGGAAAUAAGAGUCCUGGGCUGAGCUCAGUCCCCCGCCUGCAGGGAGAACCUACUGAGAGCAUUACCAUCUUCUCGUCUCCCUGCCAUAAGCAACCAUCAGGGACUAACUGCUCCAGCAUCUGAGGUCCUGAAUACCCAAGAGAUCCUCAGGCAGCUAGCAGGAAGAGCCCUGAACACCAUGCUGUCUGCCAGCCACCAGAGGUUGGCAAUUCCACUAUUUAGAAGCAAGCUGUAACCCCCUGCCUGAGUCCAGACCCACCUGCUUCCUGUCUCCUGGGGAUGACUAAACAGCUCUUGGUACCUGAUGGAGAACUAAGGAACCAACAUGGGGGGGGAAGGGGGAUAUGAAUUGCCUUCCUGGAUCCUUGGGGCAAUUAAAGUGCUCUUGCCCCAGACUCCCUUUAUAUACUGAA